Molecule: transfer RNA, 72 nt
Filed under: Eubacterium sp. CAG:115
Lineage: Bacteria; Bacillati; Bacillota; Clostridia; Eubacteriales; Eubacteriaceae
Rfam family: tRNA
About the family: Transfer RNA (tRNA) molecules are approximately 80 nucleotides in length.
Source: Rfam by way of RNAcentral
GCCUCUUUAGUUAAAUGGAUAUAACAGCCCCCUCCUAAGGGGCAGUUGUAGGUUCGAUUCCUACAAGGGGUG